This is a small nuclear RNA of Pygocentrus nattereri (red-bellied piranha), 106 nucleotides long. Its record names the gene U2. It matches the Rfam family "U2 spliceosomal RNA". Rfam says of the family: U2 is a small nuclear RNA (snRNA) component of the spliceosome (involved in pre-mRNA splicing). Complementary binding between U2 snRNA (in an area lying towards the 5' end but 3' to hairpin I) and the branchpoint sequence (BPS) of the intron results the bulging out of an unpaired adenosine, on the BPS, which initiates a nucleophilic attack at the intronic 5' splice site, thus starting the first of two transesterification reactions that mediate splicing. Lineage: Eukaryota; Metazoa; Chordata; Actinopteri; Characiformes; Serrasalmidae. The record is from Ensembl.
GCUGCUUCUCUGCCUUUUGGCUAAGAUCAAGCGUAGUAUCUGUUCUUAUCAGUUUAAUAUCUGAUACGUCCUCUAUAUGAGGAUGCCCACAGUUCCGACAGUCCAU